This 941-nucleotide ribosomal RNA is filed under the name uncultured bacterium. RNAcentral describes it as "partial 16S ribosomal RNA". It matches the Rfam family "Bacterial small subunit ribosomal RNA", at positions 8 to 916 of the family's 1533-position model. The record is from RNAcentral.
AGAGUUUGAUCAUGGCUCAGGACGAACGCUGGCGGCGUGCUAACACAUGCAAGUCGAGCGGUCGAUUGCCUGGCACCGUGUAUCCCGGGGAAAGGACCCGGGUACAGGGUGCCGGGUGAUCGAUAGCGGCGGACGGGUGAGUAACACGUGGGUAACCUGCCUCACACAAGGGGAUAACACUGGGAAACUAGUGCUAAUACCGUAUAACAUAUGGCUGGGGCAUCCUGGUCAUAUCAAAGGUUCUCGAAGGGGAGCCGGUGUGAGAUGGGCCCGCGGCCGAUUAGCUAGUUGGCAGGGUAACGGCCUACCAAGGCGACGAUCGGUAGCCGGACUGAGAGGUUGGACGGCCACAUUGGGACUGAGACACGGCCCAGACUCCUACGGGAGGCAGCAGUGGGGAAUAUUGCGCAAUGGGGGGAACCCUGACGCAGCGACGCCGCGUGAAGGAAGAAGGCCUUCGGGUUGUAAACUUCUUUGACUGGGGACGAAGGAAGUGACGGUACCCAGGGAACAAGCCACGGCUAACUACGUGCCAGCAGCCGCGGUAAUACGUAGGUGGCGAGCGUUGUCCGGAAUUACUGGGUGUAAAGGGCGCGUAGGCGGGUGAGUAAGUCAGGUGUAAAAACAAUCGGCUCAACCGGUAAGUAGCACUUGAAACUGCGCAUCUUGAGUACUGGAGAGGGAAGCGGAAUUCCUAGUGUAGCGGUGAAAUGCGUAGAGAUUAGGAGGAACACCAGUGGCGAAGGCGGCUUUCUGGCCAGCAACUGACGCUGAGGCGCGAAAGCGUGGGGAGCAAACAGGAUUAGAUACCCUGGUAGUCCACGCCGUAAACGAUGGAUACUAGGUGUAGGUGGUAGAAAACCAUCUGUGCCGGAGUAAACACAAUAAGUAUCCCACCUGGGGAGUACGGUCGCAAGGUUGAAACUCAAAUGAAUUGACGG